RNAcentral lists this ribosomal RNA (303 nucleotides) under uncultured bacterium. RNAcentral describes it as "partial 16S ribosomal RNA". It matches the Rfam family "Bacterial small subunit ribosomal RNA", at positions 507 to 808 of the family's 1533-position model. The record is from RNAcentral.
AGCAGUAGCCACGGUAAUACGUAGGUCCCGAGCGUUGUCCGGAUUUAUUGGGCGUAAAGCGAGCGCAGGCGGUUAGAUAAGUCUGAAGUUAAAGGCUGUGGCUUAACCAUAGUACGCUUUGGAAACCGUUUAACUUGAGUGCAGAAGGGGAGAGUGGAAUUCCAUGUGUAGCGGUGAAAUGCGUAGAUAUAUGGAGGGACACCGGUGGCGAAAGCGGCUCUCUGGUCUGUAACUGACGCUGAGGCUCGAAAGCGUGGGGAGCAAACAGGAUUAGAUACCCCUGUAGUCCCUGUCUCUUAUACA